Molecule: ribosomal RNA, 881 nt
Filed under: Bacillus sp. (in: firmicutes)
Lineage: Bacteria; Bacillati; Bacillota; Bacilli; Caryophanales; Bacillaceae
Description: bacterial SSU rRNA
Source: RNAcentral
GCAAGUCGAGCGGACAGAUGGGAGCUUGCUCCCUGAUGUUAGCGGCGGACGGGUGAGUAACACGUGGGUAACCUGCCUGUAAGACUGGGAUAACUCCGGGAAACCGGGGCUAAUACCGGAUGGUUGUUUGAACCGCAUGGUUCAAACAUAAAAGGUGGCUUCGGCUACCACUUACAGAUGGACCCGCGGCGCAUUAGCUAGUUGGUGAGGUAAYGGCUCACCAAGGCAACGAUGCGUAGCCGACCUGAGAGGGUGAUCGGCCACACUGGGACUGAGACACGGCCCAGACUCCUACGGGAGGCAGCAGUAGGGAAUCUUCCGCAAUGGACGAAAGUCUGACGGAGCAACGCCGCGUGAGUGAUGAAGGUUUUCGGAUCGUAAAGCUCUGUUGUUAGGGAAGAACAAGURCCGUUCGAAUAGGGCGGUACCUUGACGGUACCUAACCAGAAAGCCACGGCUAACUACGUGCCAGCAGCCGCGGUAAUACGUAGGUGGCAAGCGUUGUCCGGAAUUAUUGGGCGUAAAGGGCUCGCAGGCGGUUUCUUAAGUCUGAUGUGAAAGCCCCCGGCUCAACCGGGGAGGGUCAUUGGAAACUGGGGAACUUGAGUGCAGAAGAGGAGAGUGGAAUUCCACGUGUAGCGGUGAAAUGCGUAGAGAUGUGGAGGAACACCAGUGGCGAAGGCGACUCUCUGGUCUGUAACUGACGCUGAGGAGCGAAAGCGUGGGGAGCGAACAGGAUUAGAUACCCUGGUAGUCCACGCCGUAAACGAUGAGUGCUAAGUGUUAGGGGGUUUCCGCCCCUUAGUGCUGCAGCUAACGCAUUAAGCACUCCGCCUGGGGAGUACGGUCGCAAGACUGAAACUCAAAGGAAUUGACGGGGG